Molecule: non-coding RNA, 3789 nt
Organism: Solanum lycopersicum (tomato)
Lineage: Eukaryota; Viridiplantae; Streptophyta; Magnoliopsida; Solanales; Solanaceae
Source: RefSeq, a predicted model, not a curated record
UGAGUACUGUCACUUUACUGGUCACAUUAAGGAUAAUUUCUAUAAGCUAAUUGGUUAUCCAAGUGAUUGGAAGUUCAGAAAGAAAACAAUUUAUGGUAAUAAGAACACUAGUGGUGGCUUUGGUGCUGGUUAUGGAGGUCAAGAUAUAGCCAACAAUGUGACUGGUGAUUCAAACAGUUCAUAUGAUCAGUCUCAACUAGCUUCAACUAGUCAAAGUGCAGGAGAUGACACAGGUUUGACAGAGGCACAAGUAUUCACAGAGAAGGAAUAUAAACAAAUUUUGGAGAUGCUGAACAAAGAGUAGCUUAAGAGAGUUAACAUGGCAGGUAUUACAACUUGUUUAAUGUCAAAAAAAAAAUUUCCUCACAAGACUGGAUUGUAGAUUAUGGUGCAACUCAUCAUAUCACAACACAUAAGCAGUCACUGUUUAAGAGUCAUGAAUUGAGUAAGUAGGUACAUUUACCCACAGGGGAUAGAGUAAAUGUGAAUCACAUUGGUGAAUCAACUAUAUUUGAUGACGAUAUUGUGAGAAAUGUACUGCAUGUACCAGACUUCAAGUUCAAUUUGCUGUUAGUAUCCAAUAUAAUAAGGGAACUAUCUUGCUUUGUAUCAUUUUAUCCUAACUUCUGUGUUUACCAGGACCUCUUCAGUGGAGGUCUAUACAUGUUCAAGAGUGGCUCAACAUUGAAUAAAAUAGACAAAUGUAAGCAACAAGUGAUGGAUGCAGGAAUAGCAAGACAAGAUACUCAACUUUGUUAUCAAAGACUUGGGAAUCCUUCUUACUUUAUCAUGAAACAUUUAAAUCUACUUUCUAGCAAUAAGAAUGAUAUACUUGUUAGUUGUCAUGUUUGUCCAUUAGCUAAGCAAAUAAGGCAAGUAUUUCCUAGUAGCAAUUCUAGGGCUUCUACUAGUUUUGACUUGGUUCAUAUGAAUUUAUGGGGAACAUAUAAGACUCCUACUCUAGACAAGAAGCACUAUUUUUUAACUAUAGUUGAUGACUACAAUAGAUUUGUUUGGGUUUACUUGUUGCAAUUAAAGUCUGAAACUCUUGCAGCCAUAAAAUUGUUCUUCUCUAUGAUCAAGACUUAAUUUGGUGCACAUGUUAAAGUUGUGAUAUUAGAUAAUGGUAAUGAGUUCUUCAACUCUCAAUGUAUUAAAUUGUUUUAUGAACUAGGAAUACUUCAUCAAAGCAGUUGUCCACAUACACCACAACAAAAUGGUGUGGUAGAAAGGAAACAUAGGAAAAUUCUUAACAUAGCUAGAGCUACCAGGUUUCAAUCACAAUUACAUAUUAGGGAUAUUGUAUCAAGGCUGCUGUAUAUUUGAUGAACAAAUUACCUUCUUCAAGUAUCUCAAACAAAAGUCCCUAUGAACUUCUCUAUUCUAAAAUUCACUUGGUCAUCUAAAUGUUAUAGGUUGUUUGUGCUAUGCUACAGUGGUGCCUAAGAGUGAUAUAUUUGCAAAAAGAGCUAUUCCUACCAUAUUUCUAGUAUACUUAGAGUUACAGAAAGGUUAUGUAUUGUUGGAUAUAAAGUCCAAGAAGUUUCUUGUGAGCAGAGAUGUAGUUUUUCAUGAAACUAUCUUUCCUUUUUCUACAAAGGAAGUGUAUACAAAUACAUUAAUAGAUGUAUGUGGUUCUCCAUUAGAUGUUGCUGACAGUUCCAUGAUGGAUUGUGAUCUUGAUGUUACUACAGACACAGAAGUUCAUCAUACUAAUGAUGAUAAUGAUGUGAAUACUAAUGAUGAUGUAGACAUAGAAGUUCUUCAUGAUAAGGGUGGAGCUGCAAACACAGACCAUGAUGACAGUACAACUAAUAUUCCUAUUUUCACUGAGAUUGUUAGAGUGCCUACUACAAGUGUCAGAAGGACUUCAAGGAUUGUCAAGGGACCAGUUUGGAGGUAAGAUUAUGCAGGGAGGAAACAAAGUAGCACCAGGCAUCCAAUAACUAAUUCUCUCAGCUAUGACAGAGUUACAUCUUGUUACAAGAUAUCUGAGAUCAAGGCUUUAGAAGAAAACAAUACAUGGUCAGUAGUUGAUUUACCUAAAGGAAUGUACAAUGUGGGCUCUAAGUGGAUUUACAAGAUAAAAUACAAAGCAGAUGGUGAAGUUGAAAGAUUCAAAGCUAGGUUGGUAGCUAAAGGGUACAGUCAGCACGAAGGAUUAGACUAUCAUGAUACAUUCUCACUAGUUGCUAAAAUGGUAACAACUAGAUGUGUGAUUGCCUUAGCUGUCUCAAAAGGGUGGCCUAUAUACCAAAUGGAUGUUUAUAAUGCCUUCCUUCAAGGUGAUCUUGAGGAGAAAGUCUACAUGGAGAUGCCUGAAGGAUUUAAAAAAACAGGAGAAAAUAAGGUGUGCAAGUUACUUAAGUCUCUAUAUGGGCUUAAACAGACAUCUAGACGUUGAAAUUUGAAGUUGACUAAUGCCUUAGUGGCAGCUGGUUUUACUCAAAAUGGUCAUGAUUAUUCCUUAUUCACCUUGAAGAAAGAUGCAGACAACGUAGUUAUUCUAGUUUAUGUUGAUGAUUUGCUGAUUACUGGAAGUAAUACUAAAAUGAUCAAUGAAGCAAAGGAAAAUUUGCAUAAGCAUUUCAAGUUAAAAGGCCUUGGUGAACUCAGGUAUUUUCUUGGCAUUAAAGUGUUGAGAUCAGCAGAAGGAGUACUUUUGAAUCAAACAAAAUAUGUGUUAAAACUUUUCCAAAACAGGUCUAACAGGUGUUAAACCUUCUUCUACCCCCAUUGAGUUAAAUCUUAGAUUGACAUCAAUAGAAUAUGAUCUGGAUAAUGGCCAUAUUGGAGAUAUUGUACUACAAGACAUUACAGAUUACCAAAUGGUGGUUGGAAAGCUCUUAUACGGUACUAUUACCAGACCAGAUAUCCGCUAUGCAGUACAAGUCUUGAGUCAAUUUAUGCAAUCUCCCAAGAGGUCACAUUGGGAUGCAUCAAUAAGAGUGAUUAAGUAUCUUAAAGGAAUAGUUGGUCAAGGAAUCUGGUUACAAUCUAAACCUGCUAAUGUGUUAUCAUGUUGGUGUGAUUUUGAUUGGGUUGCUCGUCCUAAUACCACGAGGUCUAUUACAUGUUAUGUGGUUAAGUUUGGAGAAUCACUUGUGUCAUGGGAAUCAAAGAAACAGCAGACUGUUUUCAGAAGCUCAGCUGAAGCUGAAUAUAGAAGCAUGGUACCAGCUGUGUCUGAAAUCACUUGGUUGUUGGGGUUGUUUACUAAGCUAUGUGGAAAUCUAGAUGCUAAUUCUUGUGUUCCGUGAUAGCAAAUCUGCUAUACAACUAGCAGCAAAUCCAGUUUUUCACGAGAGGACAAAACACAUUGAAAUUGACUGCCAUUUCAUCAGAGAUAAGAUCAAAGCAAGAGUUAUUGAUACAGUCCAUGUUAAUACUCAACAACAACUAGCAUAUUUGCUAACAAAGGGGUUGAGUCAAGCUCAACAUUCAUACCUUUUGAGCAAGCUUGGUGUGCUCAACAUUUUGCGCCCUUCAGCUUUAGGGGGAAUGUAGAAAACUAUGCAAUUCUGUUAGCUUUAAUAUCCUAAAGUUAGUUAAUGUCAAGUUAGUUAGCUACUACAAUAAUUUAGUUAGUUGCUACAAUAACUUUCCAUUUUUCAGUUAAUUAGCUUAGUAUAGUUAAUUGUUACUUAGCUAGUUAGUUAGCUCGAUUAAUGUGUACUUAGUUACCUCGAGAAAUGUGUCAUACAUUGAGUUAGAAUGCUAUAUAAGUUAGCAUGAAGCUUCAUUGUAAAAAUACAAGUUCAAUACUAUUCUUCUUCCUCUUUCUCUUAA